CAAGAUGAGAUCUCACUGGAGCCUUGAGCUCCCUGAAGGGCCGUCGAAGACUACGACGUUGAUAGGUGGGGUGUGUAAGCGCUGUGAGGCGUUGAGCUAACCCAUACUAAUUGCCCGUGAGGCUUGACCAUAUAACACCCAAACAAUU
RNAcentral lists this ribosomal RNA (148 nucleotides) under Stutzerimonas stutzeri MF28. RNAcentral describes it as "Pseudomonas stutzeri MF28 partial 23S ribosomal RNA". The stretch from base 1 to 131 matches the Rfam family "Bacterial large subunit ribosomal RNA", at positions 2800 to 2925 of the family's 2925-position model. The record is from RNAcentral. Lineage: Bacteria; Pseudomonadati; Pseudomonadota; Gammaproteobacteria; Pseudomonadales; Pseudomonadaceae.